Molecule: long non-coding RNA, 514 nt
Organism: Pseudophryne corroboree (corroboree frog)
Lineage: Eukaryota; Metazoa; Chordata; Amphibia; Anura; Myobatrachidae
Exons: 2
Source: RefSeq, a predicted model, not a curated record
GUAAACUCCAAACCAACAAACAACAUAUUAACUGUACUGUGUAUAUUAUUGCUUAUGUGUUUUAUUUCUGAUUUUACUCACCAGAUAACGGAGGUGAUCGGGGCUCAUCACUCUGAGAACUCGCCAAUAGUGCCAGUGGUGGCUGGGGUGACACUGCCGAAAGUCUUCGCCUGGGUGGGGAUGAUGGAGCCGCAGAAUCCGAGCAAAGACGCCGUGUCUUGCUUGGCCUCCUGGAAUAUGUGACUACAGUGAAGACUUACCUGCAAUCCCAGCCUCAUCCUGACUUGUCUGUGGCCUGUCUGGGCGGCUGGUCUGUGUGACUGUUGAAAAAGGGAGCCAAACAUUAUUACCAUGCUUUGUGUAAAAACAACCACUGCAAAGCAUUAUUGUACUGUAACCAUCUAUUAGGUAUUGUUUAAACACAUUUUGUACGCUUAAGAGCUUCUAGCUUCAUGCUUUUGAGUAGAAUAUCCAAAUGUCCAUGAUGUGGCACACAAUAAAUAUGUUAAUUUUU